ACCGUUAUUGAGAGAUAACGCUGAACGCACAGAAGUCAGCAGAGGUCAUAGUAGCUGUCUUUCAGCGAAGGGC
RNAcentral lists this non-coding RNA (73 nucleotides) under chicken gut metagenome. The record is from RNAcentral.